GGCACUGCGGUUGCCAAUCUAGUGUCCAACCAGAAGGAUGGGGAUAAAGCGAAGGGAGGGCAGAGGUUUGAGGCCUGGGAGGGCAGAAGAGGGUGCAUGAGUUGCUUCAUGCUGCCGGCUUACAGGCAUUGGCACUGCAGCUGCCAUCCUUGUGCCCGCGGAGAUGGGAGGAAGCGAAUGGGGAGGGGGCAGCGGCAGGAGUCCUGGUGCUCUGAGAGGGAGACUUGGUACCUGGGAGCCAUUGGCAUCGUACCCAUCAGGCUGGUGCCCUGAGCUGGGGCAGUGGGAACAGGGGUCCCAGGAGGCAGAGAGGAGGGGCAGAGGCAUGUUAAUGACGUGUCUGUCCCUCUGGAGCUCAGCUCUAAGGAACGGUUGGACUAUGAGGUAGUUAGUCCUUUUCUAGUCUGGGAAAGUAAAGUGAUGGAAAGAGUAGCCAGGGAAGUGCCAAGAAAGUGUCUAAGAGCCAGGAGGAGGGAUUGUGCCACUGCUUCCUGGGGGAGCGCCUCAGGGCUGGCAGUCUGGCCCUUUGUGAAAAGCACAGGGAUGUGGGCGUGAGGCAAUGGGUGCUGGCACUGUCCAAGGAGCGUGGCACAGGCUCUGGCAUUGUGUGGAAUGCAGGAGGGUAACAGUGCCUCUUGCCAGUCUGGUUGAGAAGGUUGCUGUGCCAGGAAUAAGAAAGGAGGUGAGAUGUUGGGUGUGUGUGUGUGUGUGAGUUGUUUGGGAGAACAGACGUUUUUCUGCCAGGACCUCCUUCCUGUACCCUCAUAGGCAUGGGGAGUGGAGCAACAGACGGAGAGAGGCUUGAGGACACAAAGGAGGAAGCGCGCCAUUGCCAAGACCCCAAGGAAGAAGGACGGAGAGCGCUGGCAGUCCUGUCUGGCCCCCAGCCAGUUUCCUGCUGAAGAUGGCCAAAUCCUCUUGCCUGGUCUGUGCUGCUCAUCUGGGUCCUGUAGCGCCGCUGCCCCAUUCCAUCUGGAACUCCGACCCCACUUCCUGUUCCUCCACUGCUUCCUCCAGCCCCAGGGGACUCUGGUUCAGCCAGACUGGAAGCAGAUGAAUCGCUGAGAUCCCCUGCAGAUGGACUGCAGGCCUCGCUCUCUGGUGAAGCUUUAGGUGGCUCCUCUGCACCCUCUUCCUCACUGGGUGGGGGUGGAGGUGGGAGAGGUAGAGGUGGCUCUGGUGUUGGGGUGGUGGCCUCUUUCCCAGGUGGUAGAAAAGGCAGGGGCCCGGCAGCAGGAGUAACUGGGGGGUAGGGAAAAGCAGCUGCUUCCCGCUUUGGGGCUUCCCUCCCAGUCCCAUCAUCUACCUUGCCCAACAAGAGGUUGAACUUGGGGAAGGUGGCAGGGGCAGGAAUGACAGGGGGCUUCACUGCUGGAUUAGGCACCCCACCUGGCGUGUUUCGAAACUGGCCUUUCCUCUCCCGGGCCCUGGUGUUCUGGAACCAGACCUGCACCACUCGCUUUUUGAGUCCCACCUCCUCAGAGAUGCAGUCGAGCAUCUUGCGUGUCGGGUUGGAAUCUUGCAUGUACCAGCGGUACAGGAUCUCCAGCUGCUCGGGCAGGAUGGUGGUACGUAGGCGCUUGUCCCUAGGGGGCUCACCCUCCCCUCCACCCCCUGCUUCACUGCCCGUUGGGGACAGGCUGCCCUCCUCAUGCUUCCGUUUUAGCGGUGGCCCUGGGGCUGGUGGAGCACCUGCCACCAGGGGGCUUCGUUCUCCAAACACCAGCAAGGGCAGAUCAAGGAGGUGGGGGGCAGCGCUGGGCUGCACAGAAGGCAGGAGGUGUAGCCGCUGGUGACUGGUCAGGAGGUCUUGGCUGGGGAAAGACAUGGUGCACUGGUCACAAGUAUGGGCUGCGGAAGGUGAAGGAGGGGCCCUCCCUGCAGGCUCUUUGCCUCCUGGGUUUGUUGCCUCUGCUUGGCUCAGCUCUUCCCCGUCUGUGGGUUCAGGUGAGGGGCCCUUGGGCCCUGUGGGAGGUUCCAGGCUCUGUUCCUCCUCUGCGUCCUCCUCCUCUACCUCUUCCUCUUCUUCCCCUCUCUCUGCCUCUUCCUCCUCCUCUUCAGGGGGCUGGUCAUCAUAGCAUUUCUUGAGGUGCCGCACCAACUCAAAAACACAAGAGAAGGUGGCGUGGCAGCGCCUGCAACCAGAGGCUCCCCCGCUGCCACCUCCAGUCGGCACAGGGCCACCUUCAAUGGCAUUUUUGCGUGCUUUCUGGCGGGCAUUCUGGAACCACACUACCACCACACGGGUAGCCAGACCCAGGAGACUUGCAAGCCGCUCCACUUCUCCAUCCUUGGGGGUGGAGCUCUGGUUGUAGGAGACUCGGCAGACCGUGCACUUAAAGGGCUUGUCUGUGGCGGCAGCACUGGGAGGCGCAGCACCUGCCUCUCCUCGGGCAGGACCGGACGGGUCAAUGGCAGCCUUCUUCAUCUUGUGCAGGUGCAGGCUCUGGCCCAGGAGCAGGGGGCUCCGGAGCGUCCCCCAGUGGGCAUACAGUGGGCCCAAGCAGCACUUUGGUCGUAAAGGUCAUCUCUACAGUUGUUGCCUGUAAUGGAAUAAAGCCCAGUGACUCCCCUGCUCUGACCUGUCCCACUACUCCUCACGCCCUGCUCUUCACCUGUGCUUAUGCCCAGCCCCUGUACAGGGCACCAGUCUCCUCCUGGACACACUCCCCUAACUUUGGCUUUUCCCCAGAGGAGAGGGCCUGGGCCACUGCCUCUCCUGCACCAAAGUCCAUGCCGCCCUUUGAACAGCUCUUGUCAUGACCUAAUGGAAAUGAAGGAAAUGCUUAGCUCCCUCACCAGUGAGCAGAGGCAGCCAGAUGAGCUCUGCUGUUUCCUCCCAAUUCUUGCCUGGACAGCCUUGCCUCUUCCCCUCCUGGCCCAAACAGGGCCUUCCUGGACGGCUCUGCACCCAGCCGGUACUCACCACAAGCAGCAGCUUCUCAACGCACUCGGGCACCACGUUGUGAAGGUGGCUAAGGUGGAAGUGCAAGGCAGACCGGCCCACCAGCUGCUCCUGGCACAGAGGACACCUGUACUUGGGCUGCACUGCAUGCUGGGAGAGUGCAUGAGCCCUCACCUGGUCAGGCGCCGGGCUCAGGAAGCUGCAGUAUGGACAGCAGAAUACCUGGGGGCAUAUGGGUGGUGGACGAGGUGUCAGGGAAGGGUGGGAUCCACCAUCACCCAGCCCUUUGUGUUCUUGGACACACUCCCGAUUUAGGAGGAGUGAGCCCCAUUUGGAGGCAUCAAGGCAUCACCACGGAUCCAGCAAGAAGCUGGCUCCUCCCUUAUUUCCCUUCCACUGGGACAAAGGCCCAGGCUAGACUUUCUCCUUGCCUUCCUUCUUUGUCCGGCCCUCUCCCUCCAUCCUGGCCUGGCUUUCCUUGAUCUUUCCCUGUCUCUGCUGCCUUGCUUAGUAUUUCAGCUAACAGUAUGACCCUGAACCUACCUUCUCCGGAUUUAGGUUUCUUUUCUUACUCACUCACACCCUGCUGUGUCUUCUCUGUGAGAUGGCUCCCCUACCCUCUGGCACAUCUAGACCCAGAGGCUCCUUCAUCCCUGCCCACUCUGUCUCUCCAAGGUCCCUAGCCAGAGUGUCUCUGAAGAGGCGCCCUCCCUACCUGUCUGCUCAGAAGCAGACUCAUUCUCCCAGAGGCUUAGCAGCUCCCACUUUCUUUUCCUUCUCCCCUUCUUAAUGUAAACAAACACCACAGCUCCCCCAGCGGCCCAGGAAAAUUCUGCCCUGGCUGUGCUGGCACAUACCGGCCCACAUCUCCAGAGGGGUGGGGCUGAGUGAAGGCCCAGUCUCUGCCUUAGUCACCUGACUGCCCGACCUGGCGACCUGGCUCCCUUCCUCUCUGGCCUCCCUGUGCCACUGGUCCAGGCUCACAUACUGGGAAAGGAAGGCCAUAAAGGAAAAGCAUCCAGAUGGUCAUUUUAAUGCACUCAGCCCUAGGAACAGUCAUCUGGAAUCAGUCUGAGGAGGGAACAGGAGUGAAAAGGGCCUGGCCAGCACUGUCGGAAUGUAAUAAUCCUGCCUAUUGAGGUCCCAUUUGGAGAUCUGUGAGGAAAGGGCAGCAUGGAGCCUCAGGACCCAGGCUGGGAGUCCCCUCAGAAUCCAUACUUUCAGGCCACAGAGCUAAACCACCCAGGUCCUGCCUAGGCCAGGCAGAGGCCUAAAGCUGGAAGACUUUGAGAGCCGCAGGGUUUGCUAUCUGGGUCAGCUGGGCUGGGGCUUCUGCCCUCAGGAGAAAAUGCCUGUAUGGUUCCGUGCAGGCUUGGGGCCUUCUGCAGGAGAGGACCAUCUGUGUCUAGUUGUCUUUCUGCUCCUGACAAGAAUAGAGAGCUGGGCAGCAGCUGCCUUUUGGUUUGGGCUUGCACUUUUUUCUUUCUUCCUCCCCUCCUUCAUCCACCUACUUCUAGCUUUUCCUACCUCAGUACAGCUUCUGUCUUCACUUUUCCCUCAAGUCCUGCCCUCCCUUGUCUUCUCUCUAAGCUCCACCCCUAGGGUCAGCUCUGCUCCGUGUAUGGUGCUGAACAUAUAGCUGGCCCUAGGUGGCAUCUCUUACUGUUGUGUUCUGAGAUGUCACAAGCAUGACAAAACUAGGUCUGCCUUUAGUCUGAAAUCUGGCUAUAGAGCUCUACUGGUAAGAAUUUCCGGCUUUAGAAUAUGAAUAGAUCUCAGUAAAACCAGCCCCCACCCCCACGUCCCCCAGCUCUUCCCAGUUAUCCCAAUUCUGACCGUGGUCUGGUUGGCGCUGUCUCCUAGAGAGCCAGUCUUGUUCUCGGCCUCUUCAGAAGCUGAAAGGAGAUUAAAAAACUGUGACAGCCCUCCCUCUUCCUUCCCAGACCCCCAGCCCUUAAGAUGAGCUGACUUGUAGCAGAGAGCCUCCAGGGUUGGGGGUUGGGUUCAGGGGAAAGGGCAAGAAGGUACAAAGCUGUACACAGUCUAGGGAGCAGAGGCCCAGCAGGGCUGAUCCCAGGUUAGCGAGAUGGCCAGAUUUAAGCCUUUUGUGGCUCCCCCUCCUUUCCCUCUGAUGAGCCCUUUCUUGUAUCAGUUUGGCUCCAUGCACCUAGGAGGCCUUGCUGGGCAGCUGGAUUCCUGCAGAAUCCCAUGUACAUCUCAGAAGUUAGGGGGCAGGGGCAGGAAGCAAGGAUGGAGAGAAAAUGGACCAGAUGAGCGACUCACCCAAUUGCUCUGUCUUGUUCUGAGCAUCUUUUUCAGGGGUGGGCAGCUCAGCUAAGGGAGUGACAGGAGCCUUCCCUGUGUGGGAUGAGGGGAGAGCCAACUUAAAAGAGUGAAUCAUCAGGAAAGGGAGGACACAGGGCAGAGGAAGCAGAAGGAGAAAAUGGAUAGAUGAGUCAAAAAGCUGCGGAAAAGAAACAUGAAAUGACAGCAUUGGAGCUGAGAGAGCCUAAGAGAUUAAGUACCCAGCCCCCAUCAUUUAAAGAUGAGGAAACAAGUCUGGCCAUAGGCGGCAGAGACAGGGCUGACUGGGCUCCCUGCCUGCUGGUCCUGGAAACAAGGAGACCAAGAACAUAAGGGGAGGGGCACUGGAGAAGGAAAGGGAAGUUGAAUGGAAGCAGGUGCGGCAAGCAGGUCUGGCUGGGAGAGGAGAUUACCACUCAAGUAAGAAUUGACAGAUGUGUAGGAAUUUAUUUUCGGUGGCAGCCUAAUUAAAGUGUUAAAGUUCCUUAACUCCAUUCAGCCCUGCGCCAGGAUCAUUAGCUAUUGAUCUGGGCCCCUCCGGCACUUAACUCCAGCCAGCAUAUUGGCAAUUCAAUUAGCACCAGUCAAUGCUGCCUGUUCCUGGUUCCUGCUGCCCAUACCCUCACCCUUGCCCACUGCCAGUCCUUACAAAGCCCAGAUACCCAUGCCCACCUCUGACAGCCCCUUCCAGGCUUCUCUCCUGCACCCUCUGGAUCAAUGGUGCCUGGCAGGCUGUUCCUGGUGUCUGCUAGUACAACCUCAGCUGCCUAAGGGGGGACCCUAAGCCCAGCCUUCGGGCUGAAGACCUCCUAGGAGACAGGAAGAGGCUGGGGAACUCAAAGGCUUCCUAUCCCUGCAGCCUUUGGGCCAGGCCCACGGUUCCCAUCUUCUGACGUGCCCUGACCCAGCACAAAGUGAAUUCCAUUCUUCUGUUUUUCUGCUUCCUCUCUCCUUCCUGGCCAGCUCCUGCCACCCCACCCCACCCAGUGUUGCUGGGAUGCUGGUGAGGAUUUGAAAUGACAAUUCCUCAUCUACCUUCCUGUUCUCUGCUCGCCACCCAGCAAAGCCCUUGCCUUUCACUGCCUCCAUCCUCCCACGGCCUCUUGCUCCUUGCUUCACUGGGCAGCCUCACUCUUCCCCAAGUCUGGUUUUAUCACUCCUUCCCACUUGCUCUCGACUGCCACAGACCUGUUUCUCCUCACUGGUAUCCUCCCACCUGUUGCCCACCCUGCCCAGUCCCCUCUUCCUCACCGGGAGUCCGGAGCUGCCCAUGGCUGAAGCUCAGGAUGCUCUGAAUAGCCGAGAGCCCUUCCUCGGCCGUGGGGCCACUCUGCAGCAACUGCAGACGCCGCUGGGCCUGGGCGUCACGGUGGGCCGGUGCGCGCAGGUGCUGCAGCACAGCCAGGCGGGAGGGCGUCUCCCACGCACACAGCAGGCAGCGGAACAGCCCCAGCUCAGCCCCUGCUGGGGGUCCCUCCAUCUCCAGCAGAAACUGGAAGCACGGAAAGAGACUGCUCAGGCCCAGAAGGCACAGAUGCCUGUAGAUCUCAGGGGCCCCUUUCACCUCCCCCAAAGGAGCCUGCCUAGGCAGCAGCACCCCCUCGUUCCCCAUCCCUUCCAUCCUCUUGAGCCCCUUCUUUUCCCUUCUAUGGCCACCUGAAUAUUACUUCUUUUUCUCCCCUGUCUCCUCUCCUUUACCAAUACUAGGCUCCCUCCGAGUAGGUGAAUGGAAUCUGGUUCCAUCCUCUUGAACUGAUGACAAGAUGGCCUGAGCAGAUACUCCCCUUUAGUCCCAAACACCAGAAAAUCUGAAUAAAGUAUUGGAUUCAUUUUGUCAGA
Molecule: long non-coding RNA, 7048 nt
Organism: Suricata suricatta (meerkat)
Lineage: Eukaryota; Metazoa; Chordata; Mammalia; Carnivora; Herpestidae
Exons: 4
Source: RefSeq, a predicted model, not a curated record